GAUGAACGCUGGCUACAGGCUUAACACAUGCAGGUCGAGGGGAAACGACGGGGAAGCUUGCUUCCCCGGGCGUCGACCGGCGCACGGGUGAGUAACGCGUAUCCAACCUGCCUCUGACUGAGGGAUAACCCGUCGAAAGUCGGCCUAAUACCUCAUGGCAUCGUCUGCGGGCAUCCAACGACGAUUAAAGAUUUCAUCGGUCAGGGAUGGGGAUGCGUCUGAUUAGCUUGUUGGCGGGGUAACGGCCCACCAAGGCUACGAUCAGUAGGGGUUCUGAGAGGAAGGUCCCCCACAUUGGAACUGAGACACGGUCCAAACUCCUACGGGAGGCAGCAGUGAGGAAUAUUGGUCAAUGGGCGAGAGCCUGAACCAGCCAAGUAGCGUGCAGGAUGACGGCCCUAUGGGUUGUAAACUGCUUUUAUGCGGGGAUAAAGUGAGGGACGUGUCCUUCAUUGCAGGUACCGCAUGAAUAAGGACCGGCUAAUUCCGUGCCAGCAGCCGCGGUAAUACGGAAGGUCCGGGCGUUAUCCGGAUUUAUUGGGUUUAAAGGGAGCGUAGGCCGUGGAUUAAGCGUGUUGUGAAAUGCAGGUGCUCAACGUCUGCACUGCAGCGCGAACUGGUUCACUUGAGUGUGCGCAACGCAGGCGGAAUUCGUCGUGUAGCGGUGAAAUGCUUAGAUAUGACGAAGAACUCCGAUUGCGAAGGCAGCUUGCGGGAGCACAACUGACGCUGAAGCUCGAAAGUGCGGGUAUCGAACAGG
This 760-nucleotide ribosomal RNA is filed under the name uncultured Prevotella sp. RNAcentral describes it as "bacterial SSU rRNA". It matches the Rfam family "Bacterial small subunit ribosomal RNA", at positions 28 to 776 of the family's 1533-position model. The record is from RNAcentral. Lineage: Bacteria; Pseudomonadati; Bacteroidota; Bacteroidia; Bacteroidales; Prevotellaceae.